CCCUAGCGCCCCUUGGAAGCCAAGAAUAUGAGGAAGUCUUCUUCCUUCGCGCCUUCUUCUUCCUUACGCUCCAGGGCAGCCUGACAGAGCCGCUCGAAGGCUCUGCUGGCCGCGGCUAGCCGGUUUACCCAUUCCACUGGACCCAGCCACCACCCACUCCUGCUGUCUGAGGCUACAGGAGACCAGAGCCAUUGACUUUUAUUUUUAAAAUGAAGAUCUCUUUUACUUGAAGGAACUUAAGAAUUUUGGCAUUCAAAUAGGGGCUGGAAGACUUGAAAGCAGUAGAAAUUUCACCACAGGUGAUAGGAAAGGAUGAUCACGAAAUGAAUAUCUCCUGACUUGCACACCUAGUGAGCAGAGCCAGGAAGGACCUCCUUCACCUUAGCAUUUGGAACAGGCUGCAAAGUUCAUUCUUCCUCAUAGCAGCCCCUGCAUUCAGUUUGGUUUAGUUGUUUUAUGUGGUUUCUAGCCUGAUUUUUUUUUUCAGGGUGCAGCAGAAGUCUCAGGUAGCUGAGAAGUUCAUGGAAUCUUCUUAUUUGCUACACCUUUCACUACUGCUUGUGAUAUAGUGCAGGGUUGGGAUGUGCAGACAUUUCUCAAGUGCACUGUGUACCUACACAGCAUGCUGCAAUUUGGCUACUGAAGUCAAGAGAAACUGGUUUGAACAACUACUGAGUGUAACAUAGGAAGCGCAUUUCAUUUGAUAACAGGAACACAGCUUUUGUGCUAAUAAAAUGCUUUGAAAAUUAGUGUGUGGUCUUUAGUAAUUAGCAUAUACAUUUUAGUUAUCCAUUGGUUCAUAACAAACGGACUAAAUAGGUACCCCACUGAGUCAUUUAUCUAAAUGAAAAGUUUGGUUAAAUUGUAGUUGUAGGCAUUGAUCAAAGCUAAUGGGAAAAAGAGAUUAAGAUGAAAAUCAUGGGAUUAAAUUUUUAAUUAGUUUG
RNAcentral lists this long non-coding RNA (944 nucleotides) under Homo sapiens (human). Its description in RNAcentral is "HSALNT0174764". The record is from RNAcentral. Lineage: Eukaryota; Metazoa; Chordata; Mammalia; Primates; Hominidae.